This 416-nucleotide ribosomal RNA is filed under the name uncultured Arcobacter sp. RNAcentral's name for it is "bacterial SSU rRNA". It matches the Rfam family "Bacterial small subunit ribosomal RNA", at positions 355 to 788 of the family's 1533-position model. Lineage: Bacteria; Pseudomonadati; Campylobacterota; Epsilonproteobacteria; Campylobacterales; Arcobacteraceae. The record is from RNAcentral.
UGGGGAAUAUUGCACAAUGGACGAAAGUCUGAUGCAGCAACGCCGCGUGGAGGAUGACACAUUUCGGUGCGUAAACUCCUUUUAUAUAGGAAGAUAAUGACGGUACUAUAUGAAUAAGCACCGGCUAACUCCGUGCCAGCAGCCGCGGUAAUACGGAGGGUGCAAGCGUUACUCGGAAUCACUGGGCGUAAAGAGCGUGUAGGCGGGUAAAUAAGUCAGAAGUGAAAUCCAAUAGCUCAACUAUUGAACUGCUUUUGAAACUGUAUACCUAGAAUGUGGGAGAGGCAGAUGGAAUUUCUGGUGUAGGGGUAAAAUCCGUAGAGAUCAGAAGGAAUACCGAUUGCGAAGGCGAUCUGCUGGAACAUUAUUGACGCUGAGACGCGAAAGCGUGGGGAGCAAACAGGAUUAGAUACCCU